RNAcentral lists this ribosomal RNA (747 nucleotides) under Aerococcus sp. Z26-SB-E14. RNAcentral describes it as "bacterial SSU rRNA". It matches the Rfam family "Bacterial small subunit ribosomal RNA", at positions 57 to 784 of the family's 1533-position model. Lineage: Bacteria; Bacillati; Bacillota; Bacilli; Lactobacillales; Aerococcaceae. The record is from RNAcentral.
GCAAGUCGAGCGAACGGAUGAAGUGCUUGCACUUCUGACGUUAGCGGCGAACGGGUGAGUAACACGUAAGGAAUCUACCUAUGAGCGGGGGAUAACAUUCGGAAACGGGUGCUAAUACCGCAUAAUAUCUUCUUCCGCAUGGAAGAAGAUUGAAAGACGGCUCUGCUGUCACUUAUAGAUGACCUUGCGGUGCAUUAGUUAGUUGGUGGGGUAACGGCCUACCAAGACGAUGAUGCAUAGCCGACCUGAGAGGGUGAUCGGCCACAUUGGGACUGAGACACGGCCCAAACUCCUACGGGAGGCAGCAGUAGGGAAUCUUCCGCAAUGGGCGAAAGCCUGACGGAGCAAUGCCGCGUGAGUGAAGAAGGCCUUCGGGUCGUAAAACUCUGUUAUAAGAGAAGAACAAAUUGUAGAGUAACUGCUACAGUCUUGACGGUAUCUUAUCAGAAAGCCACGGCUAACUACGUGCCAGCAGCCGCGGUAAUACGUAGGUGGCAAGCGUUGUCCGGAUUUAUUGGGCGUAAAGGGAGCGCAGGUGGUUUCUUAAGUCUGAUGUGAAAGCCCACGGCUUAACCGUGGAGGGUCAUUGGAAACUGGGAAACUUGAGUACAGAAGAGGAAUGUGGAACUCCAUGUGUAGCGGUGGAAUGCGUAGAUAUAUGGAAGAACACCAGUGGCGAAGGCGACAUUCUGGUCUGUUACUGACACUGAGGCUCGAAAGCGUGGGGGAGCAAACAGGAUUUAGAUA